GGGCUUGUACUGGUUUCGACAGGCUGGUUGAAGAUGGUGAAGCUAUCCGUGGACUGCGACCACGUAAAAACGUAGACUUAAAUUUAAACGCUGAUAAAGAAUUAGCUUACGCUGCCUAAUUAUGGUGGCUGCUGUGCUUAAGAAGCCUACAGCUUAAGUUCAGUAUCAUCCUUUUGUAGGGAACCUUUUUCGGUAAGCUUUGCCCGGAAAAGAGCAACUAUGAAGCUACUGAGUUCGGAGGGUGUUAGUUCCCAACCGGAUAAAGGAAUAUGGAAGAACUGACUAUGAUAGUAGAAGAACAUGGGAUUCCAGUUUGGACAGGGGUUCGACUCCCCUCAGGUCCAUAG
This 347-nucleotide transfer-messenger RNA is filed under the name Eubacterium sp. It matches the Rfam family "transfer-messenger RNA". Rfam says of the family: Bacterial tmRNA, also known as 10Sa RNA or SsrA, is named for its dual tRNA and mRNA-like properties. Its role is to liberate the mRNA from a stalled ribosome. To accomplish this part of the tmRNA is used as a reading frame that ends in a translation stop signal. The record is from RNAcentral. Lineage: Bacteria; Bacillati; Bacillota; Clostridia; Eubacteriales; Eubacteriaceae.